Molecule: ribosomal RNA, 468 nt
Filed under: uncultured bacterium
Lineage: Bacteria
Description: partial 16S ribosomal RNA
Rfam family: Bacterial small subunit ribosomal RNA
Source: RNAcentral
GACGAACGCUGGCGGCGUGCUUAACACAUGCAAGUCGAACGGAAAGGCCCUGCCUUUGUGGGGUGCUCGAGUGGCGAACGGGUGAGUAACACGUGAGUAACCUGCCCUUGACUUUGGGAUAACUUCAGGAAACUGGGGCUAAUACCGGAUAGGAGCUCCUGCUGCAUGGUGGGGGUUGGAAAGUUUCGGCGGUUGGGGAUGGACUCGCGGCUUAUCAGCUUGUUGGUGGGGUAGUGGCUUACCAAGGCUUUGACGGGUAGCCGGCCUGAGAGGGUGACCGGCCACAUUGGGACUGAGAUACGGCCCAGACUCCUGCGGGAGGCAGCAGUGGGGAAUAUUGCACAAUGGGCGGAAGCCUGAUGCAGCAACGCCGCGUGCGGGAUGACGGCCUUCGGGUUGUAAACCGCUUUCGCCUGUGACGAAGCGUGAGUGACGGUAAUGGGUAAAGAAGCACCGGCUAACUACGUG